AUGCAAGUCGAGGGGUAGAAGGCUUCGGCCUUUGAGACCGGCGCACGGGUGCGAAACGCGUAUACAAUCUACCUAUUACAGGGGGAUAGCCCAGAGAAAUUUGGAUUAAUACCCCAUAGUAUUAUAGAGUGGCAUCAUUUUAUAAUUAAAGUUGAGGCGGUAAUAGAUGAGUAUGCGUCCUAUUAGCUAGUUGGUGAGGUAACGGCUCACCAAGGCUACGAUAGGUAGGGGUCCUGAGAGGGAGAUCCCCCACACUGGUACUGAGACACGGACCAGACUCCUACGGGAGGCAGCAGUGAGGAAUAUUGGUCAAUGGACGCAAGUCUGAACCAGCCAUGUCGCGUGCAGGAAGACGGCCUUAUGGGUUGUAAACUGCUUUUCUAUAGGGAGAAACCCCCUUUCGUGAGAGGGGCUGACGGUACUAUAGGAAUAAACACCGGCUAACUCCGUGCCAGCAGCCGCGGUAAUACGGAGGGUGUAAGCGUUAUCCGGAAUCAUUGGGUUUAAAGGGUCCGUAGGCGGACUGAUAAGUCAGAGGUGAAAUCCCACAGCUUAACUGUGGAACUGCCUUUGAUACUGUCAGUCUUGAGUUAUAUUGAAGUAGAUGGAAUGUGUAGUGUAGCGGUGAAAUGCAUAGAUAUUACACAGAACACCGAUUGCGAAGGCAGUCUACUAAGUAUGUACUGACGCUGAGGGACGAAAGCGUGGGGAUCAAACAGGAUUAGAUACCCUGGUAGUCCACGCCGUAAACGAUGGAUACUAGCUGUUGGAUCGUGAGGUUCAGUGGCUAAGCAAAAGUGAUAAGUAUCCCACCUGGGGAGUACGUUCGCAAGAAUGAAACUCAAAGGAAUUGACGGGGGCCCGCACAAGCGGUGGAGCAUGUGGUUUAAUUCGAUGAUACGCGAGGAAACCUUACCAGGCCUUAAAUGUAGAUUGCAUGAUGUGGAAACACGUCUUUCUUC
This 962-nucleotide ribosomal RNA is filed under the name uncultured bacterium. RNAcentral describes it as "bacterial SSU rRNA". It matches the Rfam family "Bacterial small subunit ribosomal RNA", at positions 55 to 1019 of the family's 1533-position model. The record is from RNAcentral.